This 496-nucleotide ribosomal RNA is filed under the name uncultured bacterium. Its description in RNAcentral is "partial 16S ribosomal RNA". It matches the Rfam family "Bacterial small subunit ribosomal RNA", at positions 29 to 507 of the family's 1533-position model. The record is from RNAcentral.
AUGAACGCUGGCGGCGUGCCUAAUACAUGCAAGUCGAGCGAACAGACGAGGAGCUUGCUCCUCUGACGUUAGCGGCGGACGGGUGAGUAACACGUGGAUAACCUACCUUUAAGACUGGGAUAACUUCGGGAAACCGGAGCUAAUACCGGAUAAUAUAUUGAACCGCAUGGUUCAAUAGUGAAAGACGGUUUUGCUGUCACUUAUAGAUGGAUCCGCGCCGCAUUAGCUAGUUGGUAAGGUAACGGCUUACCAAGGCAACGAUGCGUAGCCGACCUGAGAGGGUGAUCGGCCACACUGGAACUGAGACACGGUCCAGACUCCUACGGGAGGCAGCAGUAGGGAAUCUUCCGCAAUGGGCGAAAGCCUGACGGAGCAACGCCGCGUGAGUGAUGAAGGUCUUCGGAUCGUAAAACUCUGUUAUUAGGGAAGAACAAAUGUGUAAGUAACUAUGCACGUCUUGACGGUACCUAAUCAGAAAGCCACGGCUAACUACGUG